AGAGAGCAUGUCGGCUCCUUUUAUCCCUUCUACCAUUUACAAAUGUCACCGGCUUCCUGCUUGAGUCAUUAAGGAAAAGUAAUUACUUUAAGCAUGAGUCACAGCACAUUGAAAAAAGCAAUUAAUAUCUUGACAUCUAAACACAGAAAGAAAUCUCUGACAAGAUCUUGGAGAAUGUCAGGGCAGUAUUUAUUGGGCAAUAAUAAUACCAAAGUUACCUUUUGGAUGGCGGAAUGUUGUUGCCUGCUGUGUCUCCAGAGAAGCAAUGUCCUGUCCACACUGGAUGCUUAGGAAGUAUCAUGGAGCAAGUGAGUGAACACAGGAGUGAAUGACAGUCUUCGAUCCUUGUGUCCCCACCAUUUCUCCACCUGCGGGUCUCAGUCUGGUUCCUGAAAAAAAGCAAGUAGAGCUCUGACUUCAUACCACGCACUCUUUGCACAGAUGUCUGCACCUACAAUUUGGCUUUCUCCUGUUACUCUCUCCAGACUCAAGGCUGUUGACUUAAGAUAUUGACUGAAGUCAUUCUUCUGGCACCUCUGGCUCACAGCUGGGUCCCUAUGUGGCUUCACUUUGACCCGAAGUUCAUAUUGCUGUUGUGAGCCCACCUUGCCACGGUAUGGACAGCAGCCCCCUGGGACCUGUGCUGGUCUGGAGAUGUGAUCAUCGGAGACAACAGCUCCUUCAGGGCCCACAGCAGGCAGGGAUUUUCUCUGGCUGGGUUCUUCCUGGCCACUCAUAAACAAACUGUAAUUCUUCAGACUCCAAGAGGCUUUGGUUUGUGUUCGGAAGGCUGAGGAAAAGUGGAAAAUGUGUUAAACGCAUGCCACUGUCUAAGAGAAGGUUGCUACUGCGUACCACUGGCCUAUGCACUCUACCACAGUAGGCACUUGGUGAGUCAAUGGUGAACACACGUGUGGAGCAGUGGUGACCAGACAGGAUGGUAACUCUGCUGAGCACUAGUGGGUGCCAAGCCAUCUCUUUCCUGAUUAUCACAGCCACCUUCAGUAGAAAUGGAUACUCUCCCCACUUUCCAGCUGAGGGCAUGGAGCCACAGAAUUUUGUGUCUUAGAUGGUACAACUGGUUUCUCAACUCUUGGACUCAGCCUGUUCUGAAGGAGAAAGUGCUUAUAUAAAAUUAGAGAUAAAUAAGGUUGACAGGACAGAAGGUUAUUGCCACUGAAUAGAUGGUUCCUGAGAGACAGGGGUGUGCCCCACCAGAAAAGUGAAGAGACAGACCAUGGCAAGAAGCUCUUGGGGUACAAGAGACCAAGAGGGCCUCAGCCUGAUGAGUAGGGAUUGGAACUGAAGGCCAGAGAAGCCAAGGAGAUGAGUUUUGCCUGAGGUCUGUCCUUAAGCAACACAACUCAAACAUGAACUCCGAUUUGGGGAGAAGAGCUGAAUGUAGGAACUGUGCUGAGAAGGCAAAAUGUCUGAGGUGUGAUCACCAAGGGCAACUUGAUGGGCCAUGGCUGUGUCUAUACCACCCACCCAUCCACCUGUUCAUUCAACCAAUGUCUGCCGAGAACCUGCCAAGUGCAAAUGAUGGUGAUCAGAGAAUGAUAAGAAAAACACAGUUUUUUAAAUAUCCAGGGAGGUUAAACUCAGCAACAAGAGUCAUAGAGGAUGAGGAAGAGUUCAACAAGAGAGAAAAAUAAGACAGCUAUUCUGAGCAGAGUACCCUGGUUUCCACCUGUAUUCCCGAGACCACUGAAGGCUGGCAUGUGAGUACUUUAGAAAUUGGAGCUUUUACAAAGAACAAUGCUAUGAGAAGCAUUGUAUAACAACUCACCAAGGAAGGUAUUUAGAUGGGAAAUUAGCCCAUGAAAAGGUGUUCAUCAUUACUUAUCAUCAGGAAACUUCAAGUUAAACCCACAAUAAGACAUCACUGCAUACAACACCACUGACAGUACCAAAGGAUGGCAAGGAUGCGGAGCAACAAGACCUCAUCUAUUGCUGGCAGGAAUGCAAAACACACAGCCACUUUGGAAGACAGUUUGGCAGUCUUUUACAAAGGGAAACAUAGUCCUAACAUCUGAU
This 2037-nucleotide long non-coding RNA is filed under the name Heterocephalus glaber (naked mole-rat). RNAcentral describes it as "lncRNA (ENSHGLG00000039628.1)". Lineage: Eukaryota; Metazoa; Chordata; Mammalia; Rodentia; Bathyergidae. The record is from RNAcentral.